Triticum urartu is the source of this 545-nucleotide long non-coding RNA. RefSeq lists it as uncharacterized. The record is from RefSeq and is a predicted model, not a curated record. Lineage: Eukaryota; Viridiplantae; Streptophyta; Magnoliopsida; Poales; Poaceae.
UUCAUCUAUGUGUAUAUAUGUGGACUGAUGAGCUCAUUCCCAAGGGAGAUAAUUCAAUAGAACAUCAUGAAGGGCUCUUCUUCUUCUUCUUCUUCUUCUUCUUCUUCUUCUUCUUGUACCACCAUUGCACAAACUAUGGCAAUCGUGGGUAUUUUAUUACUAUGCAACUUCCUGCCAUGCUCGACGGCCAACCAAGUUCAUCCAGACGGUUUCCGCCCUGUGGUGGGUCCUCCAUCGCCGCGGCCCGGGACAUCCAUUAGCUGCGUCCAUGGAUGCCGGCACCUUGACACUACGCCACCAGCAACACUAGCGCCGCACCGCAAGAUCCUGCAGCGAGCAGCUGCCAACGUGCCCCUAAUGUAUGAAGCACCACGGAUGCUAUGAGCACUGGGUCUCUUUUUCUUGCUGUGCCGUGUCGAGCUCUCGGUUAUUUCAUGAUUUUGCUUGUCGUCUUCAAAUCACACUGUGAAAGGGUGUUUCUGCGACUGGUAUAUAAGUAAGACUCUGGAAAACAAAUAAUGAACGAAUAUGUUGAAUCCUUCUUA